AUUGAACGCUGGCGGCGUGCCUAACACAUGCAAGUCGAGCGGUAACAGGUGUAGCAAUACAUGCUGACGAGCGGCGGACGGGUGAGCAAUAUUUGGGAAUCUGCCUAUUAGUGGGGGAUAACCCGGGGAAACUCGGGCUAAUACCGCAUACGCUCUACGGAGGAAAGCCGGGGACCGCAAGGCCUGGCGCUAAUAGAUGAGCCCAAAUCGGAUUAGCUAGUUGGUGAGGUAAUGGCUCACCAAGGCGACGAUCCGUAGCUGGUUUGAGAGAACGACCAGCCACACCGGAACUGAGACACGGUCCGGACUCCUACGGGAGGCAGCAGUGGGGAAUAUUGGACAAUGGGCGAAAGCCUGAUCCAGCGACGCCGCGUGGGUGAAGAAGGCCUGCGGGUUGUAAAGCCCUUUCGGUUGGGAAGAAAAGUAUCGGCUUAAUACGUCGGUACCUUGACGUAACCAACAAAAGAAGCACCGGCUAACUCUGUGCCAGCCGCCGCGGUAA
RNAcentral lists this ribosomal RNA (502 nucleotides) under uncultured bacterium. RNAcentral describes it as "partial 16S ribosomal RNA". It matches the Rfam family "Bacterial small subunit ribosomal RNA", at positions 30 to 523 of the family's 1533-position model. The record is from RNAcentral.